Mycena vulgaris is the source of this 95-nucleotide non-coding RNA. Lineage: Eukaryota; Fungi; Basidiomycota; Agaricomycetes; Agaricales; Mycenaceae. The record is from the annotation of a GenBank genome assembly.
GACACUUUGGCCGAGUGGUUAAGGCGAUGCCCUGCUAUGUUAGCUGGUAAAGGCAUUGGGGUUUCCCCGCGUGUGUUCGAAUCGCACAGGUGUCG